This 253-nucleotide ribosomal RNA is filed under the name uncultured bacterium. Its description in RNAcentral is "partial 16S ribosomal RNA". It matches the Rfam family "Bacterial small subunit ribosomal RNA", at positions 524 to 776 of the family's 1533-position model. The record is from RNAcentral.
UACGUAGGGUCCGAGCGUUAAUCGGAAUUACUGGGCGUAAAGCGUGCGCAGGCGGUCUUGUAAGCCAGAUGUGAAAGCCCCGGGCUUAACCUGGGAAUGGCAUUUGGGACUGCAAGGCUCGAGUGCGGCAGAGGAGACUGGAAUUCCUGGUGUAGCAGUGAAAUGCGUAGAUAUCAGGAGGAAUACCGAUGGCGAAGGCAGGUCUCUGGGCUGACACUGACGCUCAUGCACGAAAGCGUGGGGAGCAAACAGG